AACGCUGGCGGCGUGCCUAACACAUGCAAGUCGAACGAGAAAGUGGAGCAAUCCAUGAGUAAAGUGGCGACCGGGUGAGUAACACGUGACCAACCUACCCUCGAGUGGGGAACAACCUCGGGAAACCGGGGCUAAUACCGCAUAAUGUCUUUGGGGUGCAAUUCCCUGGGGAUCAAAGGAGCAAUUCGCUUGAGGAGGGGGUCGCGGCUGAUUAGCCAGUUGGCGGGGUAAUGGCCCACCAAGGCGAAGAUCGGUAGCCGGCCUGAGAGGGCGCACGGCCACACUGGAACUGAAACACGGUCCAAACUCCUACGGGAGGCAGCAGUGGGGAAUUUUGCGCAAUGGGGGAAACCCUGACGCAGCAACGCCGCGUGGAGGAUGAAGUCCUUUGGGACGUA
This 398-nucleotide ribosomal RNA is filed under the name uncultured bacterium. RNAcentral describes it as "bacterial SSU rRNA". It matches the Rfam family "Bacterial small subunit ribosomal RNA", at positions 32 to 427 of the family's 1533-position model. The record is from RNAcentral.